UAGCCGUAAACGAUACUCGCUAGGUGUCGGCCACGGUGCGACCGUUGUCGGUGCCGUAGGGAAGCCGUGAAGCGAGCCACCUGGGAAGUACGGCCGCAAGGCUGAAACUUAAAGGAAUUGGCGGGGGAGCACAACAACGGGUGGAGCUUGCGGUUUAAUUGGAUUCAACGCCGGAAAUCUUACCGGGACCGACAGCAACAUGAAGGCCAGGCUGAAGACUUUGCCGGAUUAGCUGAGAGGAGGUGCAUGGCGUCAGUGACU
RNAcentral lists this ribosomal RNA (261 nucleotides) under uncultured archaeon. RNAcentral's name for it is "partial 16S ribosomal RNA". It matches the Rfam family "Archaeal small subunit ribosomal RNA", at positions 748 to 1008 of the family's 1478-position model. The record is from RNAcentral.